This 17275-nucleotide long non-coding RNA is filed under the name Malus domestica (apple). Its description in RNAcentral is "long non-coding RNA (MDOM_LNC012227)". Lineage: Eukaryota; Viridiplantae; Streptophyta; Magnoliopsida; Rosales; Rosaceae. The record is from RNAcentral.
AGUUAGCAACGGAGCAAGAAAUUCUGAUCCGUCGCCAUGGCUUUGUGCUCCACCGCCUUUCUCUGCAACCAUGUAGCAGCAGCAGCACCAUGGUCACCUCACAAAAGUAGAGCUAGAAGUUUCCGGCGGCAAAGGAGCUCUAUCAUCAAAGCGACUGUCACCUCCGAUGUCAAGCAAGACCUUAAUACCUCGUUGCAGUACAGGAAGCUUGAUGACUCAAACCUUGUAAUCAGUGAAAUCACUCUCCAAACCAUGACUUUCAGUGAGCACAACACUGAGAUAGAAGCUCACAAGAUUCUCUACGCAGUUGAAAAUGGGAUUAAUGUUUUCGACACUACCGAGGCCGCGAGUGACAUGGUUUACCAUUAAUAUUAUCAAUAUUGUUCAAACUUAACUACCUAUUACUAGGUGAUGGGUUUUAUGACAAAAGAUCUCGGUGGUAUUAGUGUUGGAAACUCUCGUAUAGUAAUUGUAUAUUAUUUUGUUAAAUGACCGAUGCUGGAUCAUAUUCUCUAAUAAUGAGUGCUUGUGAAUUGCUUGGUUAAUUAAUGGCCUCAAUUUUGCUUUGUUUCGUUUCGUUUGGUCUCGGUUUUGAUUAAAGUUUUAAUCUUUGUUGUUGCAGUACCCAAUUCCCAUGAAGGAGGUGACAGAAGGAAACACUGAUCGCCACAUUACCAGUUGGCUUAAAUCUCAUCUCCGCCAUAAAGUAUUUGAUAGUUUGACAUGCUAUGUUGCGAGAUUUUGUUUAGGAUUCUUGUGGAUGAGAUGCAAUUAUAUUAAUGCGUUGUUUGAUUUGCAGUUUAAUACUGAUAACAUAACGUGCUAAGGUACAUAAUAUGCUUGCAAAUAGGUUGUUUUGGAAACAAAAGCGAAUGGGUAUUCAGAGGGGUCAAGUUAUUUGCUUGACAAUGCCAUGGUUUUGCAGGUGGAUGCUACAAACAUUAGAGAAAGUGUAGAGAAAAGCGUAAAGCACCUUGGCUCAGAUUACCUAGAUUUAAUAAUGAUACAACCCUUACUCUGCUUCUUACUCAGUGUAACAGUAGCUAGCAUAUUUCAUUGCAAUAUCAACCUUUACAACAACAACUUUCCCUUUUACAAUAUUCCCUUAUAUAGUAACUAAGCAGCUUCCUCCCUAAGUCACUAAUGCGAAAAUUAUCUUAACACACAAAUUUAAACCUCUUUUGACAACUGUAGUAUAAGUAUAAGUAGGGAUCGUUCUGGACCGGGGAUUAGGAGGGCUUGCUAAUAACCUCUAAACUGACUCAAAAACAUAAAACUAAACUUAAAAAUACUUAACAAGACUCAUAAGACUCAAAGCAAACUUAAAAUACUCAAAACAGCUUAGAACAACUAAAUAAACUUAAACUAGACACUAGGAAUGACUUUGGACGAAAAUUGACUUUUACUUGAAUCAAAACAUUUAAAAACACAAAUUAAAACAAAUUCUAACUAAUUAGACACACUAAAGUAAAGGGAGAUUGAGUUUUGGACGAAGUUGAAACAAACAAACAAGUAUGAAAAACUAGACAGAUUGUAAAAAAAAUUUGAAAAAUAAGAUGAUGGAUGGGAUAGCUAGAGGCUUUUUCUCCACACAUGACAUGUAUGCAAAUAACUCGAUUUCUAGUUACUACUUCAUUGAAUUAUGAACGACAAUGCUCCAAAUUAACCGUGACAUCACUAGUUAACUCUCGGAUUUUCCUUGUUUUAUUGGAUUGGAUGACAUCAUUCGACAACCCAAAACAUUCUUCUAAAGUUCCCUACAUGACAUCAUAAUAGAGAUACAAUCAAAGAUCAUUACGUUUAAUGAAAAUCAUAAGCAUUGACAAAGCACUUGCAACUAUGACAUCAUGUCACUCAUGCUAGGAAUUGAACUUAACGCGAUCGUUUAUAAGCGACCUUCACUACAUGUGAAUAUAAGUUUGUAACGAUUAUGUAAAACUUCCUUAUAAUCUAGCAACGGAUUUAUACAUGCCAAUUAAGUGUCGACCCUUAAUUAACAAAUACAAAUAAGUUAUCAAUCAAAUAGUUAAGCCAAUUGCAUUCACGAUUCAAGAGUUCAUAACUAGAAUUUAUCAAAUUAUAUUGCACACAUAAUCAUGGCUUUGAAAUCACCCCUAGCCAAGAGGGGUUUAGCCACUCAUAUUUACAAAAAAAACGAAAGGAAAUGAAUUUAAACAUUAGAAACAAAAGAAAGAAAACACCUAAACGCUCCAACGAUCCAAGUUGGACAGCAAGCACGUCCAAGCACUUUCCUUCCCUUCCUUUGCUACGGCACAAGGUGUUGGUGAGUGUUUGAAGGUUUGUUUGUAUGGAGGCAUGGAUGUGAAGAUGAAUGGAUAUGUUUGGAUGAAGGUUGUGUUGAAAUGGGAGUGAAUGAUCUCACAAAGUAUCAACUAAAUUUAUGUUACACACACUUCCUUUUAUAGAGGAAGUGCAUGGCAAUGGAGGGGAACAUGGAGUGGUGUAGCAAUUGAGUGCAAUGAUGCAUGAAAUAUGAAAUGAUGGAGGGAACAAGGAAUGGUGUAGCAAUUGAGAGCAAUGAUUCAAUGUAAUGAUGCAUAAAAUCUGAAAUGAUGGAGGGAACAAGGAAUGGUGUAGCAAUUGAGUGCAAUGAGUGGUGUUUGAAAUGAUUCAAAGGUGAAAGUGAAGUGAUGAUGCAAAGCAUGGGGGUAAAAUGGAGUGGUGUUACAGCUAGGGAACAUGAAUGAAUGUGCACAUGGUAGAGAAAGGAAAGGGAGGUGGAAUGAUGCAACAAAUGAGUCAAUGGAGGGAACAUGGAUGAUGAUGCAUGACAUAGGAAUCCAAAGGGAGUGCAAUGGUGGUGCACGGCAAUGAUGGAAAGGUGAAUGGUGGAGUGACACCCCUUUGUGGCUGAGCUCUUUGUCCUUUUUACAUUAAUUCUUCUUUCUCUUUAACACAUUCCUAGCCUCUUUAGUCUUCAAUUUCGUCCAUCCACCUUGCUCCAUGCAUGUGUUAUUCAUUCCAAGCCCAAAACUGCUCCAAAAUGCAUCUUAUUGCUUCAUAAGGCCUAUGGACCUACAAACACACGAAAAUAGCUUAAAAUACAUAAUUAACUAUGAAAUAACAACAUAAAUGCAUGAGAACAAGCUAACUCAGUCGCAUAAAUAUGCUCCUAUCAAAUUCCCCCACACUUAGCUUUUGCUAGUCCUCGAGCAAAACAAAACAAACGAAACAAACAAAACACAACCUAGACCUUCCAACUUUUGCCUCAGGGAUUUUUAAUAAAACAUGACAUGUUAAAAAUCAUCAUGCCCAUAGAUUUUGGUCAUCUUUACACUUGAGCACAUACUUAAUCACAGUCACCACUUACUAGUUCACAAUUCACCAAUUAAAACGAUGUUUUGAAUGUAGUAACAUGCCUUAGAGAAUUUGGUCAAUUUCUUACAAGAUACUCUCUAUUUUCACACACAUUUUCUGACUACACACCCUACACUAGUAUAUGUGAGAAGAUUAAUGUAAACACGAAAGACUAGGACUCACAUAUGUUAUAACAAAGAAAGCAAUUUUCUAGAGUUAUUAACCAUGUUUAGAUAUGAUCUCAUGAAUGGAAUGCUACUACUUAGAUGCGAGAACCAGUGACAUCAUAUGCUCAUACCAAUUUCGAACUCCACAAAUUGAAACACACAAUACUCAAGAUUGAAGUCAAAGGUUGUAACAGGGCUUGGGGGUAAUGGGCUAAUAAAGAAAGGAUAGGAAUAACAAACGUUCUUAAAGCGAUAGCAAACAAAGCAAUGAAAUAGACACUUGGAAUUCACUUUAGAAUGCAGAAUCAACUUUUAAAUACAAAGGGAAGAUUCAUGCAACACUUAGGGCCGAAUUCAAUGUUUUGGACCCUUUUUUAACAAACUUUUUUCUUUUCACUCUUUUUUUUUUUUCUUUCUUUUCUACCUAUGCCUUAUUAAGGACUUUGGCACACACACACACACACACACACACACACACACACACACACAAGAAUCACUUCCCCCACACUUGCUUUCUACAAUACAUUGAUAAAAAAGGAGUUCAUUUUAAGUCAUGCUUUACUAUGCUUCAAGAACAAGGGUAUGAAUGGUCCUAAAACUAGGCUAGGUAAGGAUAGUGUGGAUUAACAAAGAACAUAGGCUUAAUAAGGCUCAACGGGGUUAAACUUAAACACAUAAUGAAAUAGGGGCACGACAAUUUGGCUUUGGUGGUCACUACACAACUUCAUCUUGUAUAUGUGUUAUGCAAAUCAAUAGCAUGCUUUGAAUGAAAUAGGCAUGAGUUCUAGCAUUUGGAACUAAAUGAUGAAACGCCUCCUAAGUAGCAACCAAGCAAAGAAUAAUGAGAUCAUGCAACGACUUUAGAAAACAAUUAUGCAUAGAUUAUUAACUCUCCAAAUAAACGUUUAGGCUCAAGUCUCACAAGGUUGUAGUGUUCAUUUGAGUUCCUUCCUUCAAGCAUGUUACAAAAACUGAUUUUUCCUUUAUGAUUGCAUGUGAAUUCAAAAAUUAUAACCACAACCAAGCAUACACCAAAGAGUAAAUCAAAUUUUCAUCCAUGUUUAUAUCUCUCUUUAAUAGUCAUGUAAUUAAAAACCAAAUCCUCAUCAUUGUGUUGGAAGGUACCCUAAGACACAAAUAAACACACAAAAACAACUUUUUUUGGGUUUUUCAAAACAAUUUUUCAAAUUUUUAUGAGAUUUUCGGAUUUUUAUGUCAAAACACACUAAAACACUCCAAAAUAGCUUAAAAACACUUAAAACAGCAAGGAACAACACUAGAAGUAAUGGGUGAUAAACUCCUACGAAUUUCAUGCAAAACAAUGGUUACCCCCCCAACACUUAAAUCAAACGUUGUCCUCAAUGUUUCAAGCAUAAACUCACAUAAAAACAAGCAAACAAACAAACAAACAACGAAUAAACAUGACAAGUAUAGCAAAGUAAAAACCAAACAGAGUAGAGUUUAAGAACACACAUCUGGUUUUGGAGAUAGAUGAUCUUGUUGACUUUCCACAGCUUUGAUCUCGAACUGGUUUGGAAUUCUGAGUGAGGAACGUUAGAGUUCCUUGGUUGUGCAGUCUGCAUUCUUCUCUGCUUGUUUCUUCUGUAUGGCAGGCAGGCACGAGGUAGAGGUGAUGGUCUGUUUCUUUCUUCAAUCUUUCCACGUGCCGACCAUUUGCUUUUUUUCUCCUUGUCUCUAGCUGAGGAUGAAUUAGCACAUUGUCUCCACAUGCUUCGAGGUAUCAUUUUCACUUCCCUUAUCUGUUCCCCAGGCAGAUAUGGUAGACGAAGAGGAAGCAUAAGAUGUUGAAGAUGAGUACUCGAGAGCAAGGCUAGGUAAGCAAUCAGGAAAGGGUUCCAGGCAGUCGGUUCCAGAUCGAAAGAUUGAUACCAAGUGUUGGCUGAUUGCUCUCUUUCUCCUUAUCCCGCAGAUGAAAACAACGACAAGGAGAAAGAUAGGGAGAAAGCAUGAUAUGAGAUACUCUUGCUUUCAACCUUCAUGAUAUGAAAUACUUUUGCUUUGGAUGAGUUGUUUGCAGAGGUACCCCAAGGAAUAAGGAACACUGAGUGACUCGAGAGGCUUCGUUGGGAAGGCAUUCUCGGAGAUGAAGAAAGGUUAUGUAUGUCUGCCUUGCAAUGGAGGGUGAAGGUUGACAUUUAUAGGAAUUAAUAACCGGUACUAUUCUUUCACUCUUGUCGGCAACCGUUGGAUGAUUUAACAGUAAACUUCACGUGCCUUCUACUUCACAAGAAAUCUUUGACAGAUUACCCGUAAUUUUCAGCAAGGCUGAGUGUACAUGUGACAGGCGCUGACACGUAUGGAAAAGCAAGUGCCUCUUCGAUAUCUGGAAUUGGCGCUUCGACAAACUGCCCGUGAUUUCUGCAAAGCUGAGUGUGUAUGUGACAGGCACUGACACGUCUGGAAAACCAAGUGCCUCUUCGAUAUCUGGAAUCGGCGCUUCGACAAACUGCCCGUGAUUUUCGUAAAGCUGAGUGUGCAUGUGACAGAUGCUGACACGUCUGGAAAAGUAUAUGCCUCUCUGAUUUCUGAGCUUGCCUCUUCGAGUUCUGAGCUCCGUCAAGUGUAGAGGUUGCAUGUGACAAGUGCGAACAAAUCUGGAAAAUAAGAUUGGCAUGUGGUUUCUUAGCAAGCUUAGCUUUUGAGAAAGCUAGCGCCUCUUCGAUUUUUGAAUUGGCCUCUUCGAUUUCUGAGCUCGCUUCUUCGAUCUCUGAAAUCUCGUCGAGUGCUGGUUUUUAUAGAGACGCGCAGUACGUUUCAAAGCACACUUGAAUUUCUACCUGUAGAAACUCCCUUCUUACACUUCUACGAUCUUGACUUAUCCAACCUCUUCUUUCUUCAACACCUUUGAAAAUGUCUGGCCCCUCUGACCGUCGUUUUAACUUGAACCUUGGUGAAAAGGCAUCCAUGCCUUCUCCAGACAACAUAUGGCGCCCAUCCUUCAUAUCCCCUACUGGUCCUCUUACCGUUGGGGAUUCGGUGAUGAAGAAUGAUAUGACCGCUGCGGUGGUGGCCCGGAACCUUGUCACUCCCAAAGAUAACAGACUGUUUUCCAAACGGUCUGAUGAGUUGGCUGUUAAGGAUUCUCUGGCUCUCAAUGUGCAGUGUGCAGGUUCUGUGUCCAAUAAGGCCCAACGUCUAUUUGCUCGAACCCGUCAAGUUGAAUCAUUGGCGGCUGAAGUGAUGAGUUUCAAACAGGAGAUUAGAAGGCUCAAGCAUGAGAAUAAACAGUUGCACAGGCUCGCACAUAACUAUGCUACCAACAUGAAGAGGAAGAUUGACCAGAUGCAGGAAUCUGAUGGUCCGAUUUUACUUGAUCAUCAGAGGUUUGUGGGUUUGUUCCAACAGCAUUUGCCUUCGUCUUCUGGGGCUGUACCGAGUAGUAAAGCUCCAAAUGAUCAACCUCCGAUGCCUCCUCCUUCUGGGGCUCUGCCGACCAUUGAGACUUCUCCUAAGCAGCCUUUGUGAAGGCUUUCUCUUGUAUUUUCUGCUUAAUGUUCCUUUUUUUUUCAUGAAAAUAAAUGUAAAAAUACCUUGCAUAUCUGACAAUGUUUCAAAAAUAAACCCACACCAAAAAUAAUUGAACAAGCAACAAAUAAAAAUGACAAUCAUGGCAAAAUAAAACUGCAGAAAAUGGAAGGUUUUUAGGAACGCAAAACACAAUCGUGGAGCAAUUCAAAAAUCUUCCUUAUUUGAGUACAUGGGUUUCCUCCCAAGAAGCGCUUGCUUUAACGUCUUCCAGCCGGACGAUACCUCCAUUUAAGCUUGAAUAGGGCCCACGGCAUGAAGGGGUAUGUCCUCUACGGCAUGCUCCUCAAAAUACUCAUACAUUGGCUCUAUGAAUGGAAGGGGAUAGUAAUCCUUCCCGAUUGGGGCGUUGAGCAUCCUUAAGUCAAUGUAAUCAUUCCCACCAGCUUGGAUUCGAUUGGGGACUUGCACCGUACAAGGUAACAACCUAUUAGUUAAAAUGGGAAUCGAAAUUGGAAUAUGUGGUUUACCAAUGUGUUGCAAUGAAGUAGCAGCAUUGUCAACAGAUUUUCCAAAUGUGCUUUCGGCCAGAUUAUGCAUUUGGAGGUUAGUGGUGUGUUCUUUGUGCUCCACUCCAAUUUCCUCUUCGUUGGUGGUUGGAAAUUCAUCCUUCUUGGUUGGUGCUGAAUGUUCUUGUCCUAUGUUUUCAACUACAUCAAUGGCAAAACAAGAACGAACAUCAGUAAGAUUCACAUUAGAUUCAGGAAUUUUAAAGUGAAUCAUAUCACCACCAAAUGACAUUGUUAAUGCUCCCUUGGCCACAUCAAUCUUAGUUUGAGCUGUUUUCAUGAAAGGUCGUCCAAGUAAGAUUGAUGGUGGUGGAGAGUGGGCUGCAUCCUCCAUGUCAAGCACAUAGAAAUCUGCACGAAAAAUCAAAUGGUCUACCUGCACCAAAACAUCCUCCAAAACUCCUUUCGGGUAGGCAUUAGAUCGAUUGGCUAGUUGAAUAACAACACCAUUAUGUUUAAGCUCUCCUAGAUUUAUAGAUGCAUAAACAGAAUAUGGCAUGACAUUAAUUGAUGCACCUAGAUCUAGCAUAGCAUGUUCAAACCUCAUAUUUCCAAUAACACAAGGGAUAGUGAAAUUACUUGGAUCUUUGCAUUUGGGUGGCAGCUUCCUUUGCAACAUUGCAGAGACAUUCUCAUUCACAUGUACCACCUCUUUCUCACGAAUCCGGUUCCUUGUUGUGCAAAGCUUCUUUAAAAACUUAGCAUACUUCGGGAUUUGUUUGAUGGCAUCUAAGAGUGGAAUAUUGACUUGUACUUUUCUGAAUGUUUCAAGGAUGUCUUUUUCACUUUCUUCAUUCUGUGUUUGCAUGAAUCUGCGAGGGAAAGGUGCAUUUGGUGGAAUAACGUUAGAAUUAACCGAAUUGGAACCUUUCUUACCUGUGGUGGACAAAUUGGAUGGAUUAAAGAGUGUAGGAGUGCACGGCAAGGUUGUUUCCUUCCUUGCCGUGGGUGUGUGUUGGACAUCCUUCUCUUGUUGCAGCUUCUCGUCCUCCGUUUGGGCAGAUUUUAAUGGUUGGGGUCCGUUCCAACUUCUUUUCCACCUUUCAAGGUAAUGGCCUUUAUGGAUUCAAAUCCUCCCCUUAGAUUCACAAUGGUUGUGCUAGACAGUUUGCCUUGCUCUUUCAUUUACCCCAUGAACUCCGUCAUUUGGCCCAUUUGUUUCUUCAAUUCAUCCACCUCCUUAGCUUGAUUGAGCAUUGUUUUAUUUUGAUUUUGCUGCCCCUGCGCUAAGGAAGUUAGUAAUUGAACAAUUUGAUAAUUAUCCAUGGAUGUACCUGAAUUGGUUUGGGUAGAUUGUGGUUGGACUUGAGUGGGUACAUAUGGCCUUUGAUACAUCCCAGAGGGUUGUGGCAGAAAUCCUCCUUGUUGGGCAGAUUGUUGUGGUUCUCUCCACUUGAAAUUUGGAUGAUCUCUCCACCCUGAAUUGUAAGUGUUGGAGUAGGGGUCAUUAUGUUGCUGAUUGUGGCCUUGAAAAACCACGGCAUUGGCAAAUUCCCACCCUUCAUUCUCGAUCAAUUGAGGGCACUUAUUCGUGAAAUGUCCUUGCAUUAAGCACACGCCAUAAGCAGCUACACUUUGUACCUUUGGUAUUUCAACCACCUAUGAAAGAAGAGUAAUAAGAUUAGCCAUUUGAUUUUUAAGUUCGAAAAUAGCACUUACCUCAUUAACAUGUUGUUACCGUGGGAUGUCUAUUUGACCAACACCUUCAUAUUAUUGAGCAUUCAAUGCUCGGUUAGCAAUUAAGGUCUUGGCAGCCAUGGGUGUUUUGUCCACCAAAGCUCCUUCCGCUGAGGCGUCUAGCAUUUGGCGUUCAAUUGGUAGAAGCCCUUCAUAGAAAUAUUGAAGAAGAAGCUCAUUCUUCAUUUGAUGAUGUGGACAUUAAGCAACAAGGGUUUUAAAACGUUCAUAGUAAGUGGGAAAUGAUUCACCUUGGUUUUCCUGAAUGCCACUAAUCCUUUUAUGUAGUAGAAUGACUCGAGAAGUUGGGAAAAACUUCUCCAAAAAUGCCCGUUUCAUACUCUCCCAUGAUGUGAUAGUUCUGAGGGCUAGUUCAUACAACCAAUCUUUAGCCUUUUCCAAGAGAGAAAAGGGAAAAACCUUCAUUUUCAGAAUGCUCCCAUCAACAUUCACAGAGGUCAUGCUCGAACAAACAACCUCGAACUUCUUCAAAUGUUUAUUAGGAUCUUCCAUGGAUAACCCAUGGAACUUAGGAAUAUGGUGCAAUAAACUGGACUUUAAUUCGAACUCAUCGGUCUUUCCUUGGGCAGCCACGGGGUAUUGAAUGCAAAGUGGUGCAGCAUUGUCCAAUCCCGAAGUAGAAAACUCCUUGAUUGUUCGAUUGUCCGCUGCCAUGUCUUGUACUUCUUCAAAAAUCUGAGUCGGUUGAGGUGGUUGGGGUUCUUGUUGAUUCCUUGCUCGUCUCAAAGUUCGUUCAAAAUCGUCGUCAAAGUCAAGGAUGUGCUUAUGAAUAGGUUGAGAACUUCGAGUCAUAAACCACCUAAAACAAGAAAACAAGUAAAGUCAUCAACUAGGAACAAAAACACAUGAAAAUAAACAAAAAGAAAUAACAAGGGAUUAGCAAAGUUGCUAAUCCUUGGCAACGGCACCAAAAACUUGAUGCAAAAAUUAUCUUAACACACAAAUUUAACCGUCUUUUAACAACUGUAGUAUAAGUAUAAGUAGGGAUCGUUCUGAACCGGGGAUUAGAAGGGCUUGCUAAUAGCCUCUAAACUGACUCAAAAACAUAAAACUAAACUUAAAAAUACUUAACAAGACUCACAAGACUCAAAGCAAACUUAAAAUACUCAAAACAGCUUAGAACAACUAAAUAAACCUAAACUAGACACUAGGAAUGACUUCGGACGAAAAUUGACUUUUACUUGAAUCAAAACAUUUAAAAACACAAAUUAAAACAGAUUCUAACUAAUUAGACACACUAAAGUAAAGGAAGAUUGAGUUUUGGACCAAGUUGAAACAAACAAACAAGUAUGAAAAACUAGACAAAUUGUAAAACAAAUUUGAGAAAUAAGAUGAUGGAUGGGAUAGCUAGAGGCUUUUUCUCCACACAUGACAUGUAUGCAAAUAACUCGAUUUCCAGUUACUACUUCAUUGAAUUAUGAACGACAAUGCUCCAAAUUAACCGUGACAUCACUAGUUAACUCUCAGAUUUUCCUUGUUUUAUUGGAUUGGAUGACAUCAUUCGACAACCCAAAACAUUCUUCUAAAGUUCCCUACAUGACAUCAUAAUAGAGAUACAAUCAAAGAUCAUUACGUUUAAUGAAAAUCAUAAGCAUUGACAAAGCACUUGCAGCUAUGAUAUCAUGUCACUCAUGCUAGGAAUUGAACUUAACGCGAUCGUUUAUAAGCGACCUUCACUACAUGUGAAUAUAAGUUUGUAACGAUUAUGUGAAACUUCCUUAUAAUCUAGCAAUGGAUUUAUGCAUGUCAAUUAAGUGUCGACCCUUAAUUAACAAAUACAAAUAAGUUAAUCAAAUAGUUAAGCCAAUUGCAUUCACGAUUCAAGAGUUCAUAACUGGAAUUUAUCAAAUUAUAUUGCACACAAUCAUGGCUUUGAAAUCACCCCUAGCCAAGAGGGGUUUAGCCACUCAUAUUUACAAAAAAACGAAAGGAAAUGAAUUUAAACAUUAGAAACAAAAGAAAGAAAACACCUAAACGCUCCAACGAUCCAAGUUGGACAGCAAGCACGUCCAAGCAUUUUCCUUCCCUUCCUUUGCUACGGCACAAGGUGUUGGUGAGUGUUUGAAGGUUUGUUUGUAUGGAGGAAUGGAUGUGAAGAUGAAUGGAUGUGUUUGGAUGAAGGUUGUGUUGAAAUGGGAGUGAAUGAUCUCACAAAGUAUCAACUAAAUUUAUGUUACACACACUUCCUUUUAUAGAGGAAGUGCAUGGCAAUGGAGGGGAACAUGGAGUGGUGUAGCAAUUGAGUGCAAUGAUGCAUGAAAUAUGAAAUGAUAGAGGGAACAAUGAAUGGUGUAGCAAUUGAGAGCAAUGAUUCAAUGUAAUGAUGCAUAAAAUCUGAAAUGAUGGAGGGAACAAGGAAUGGUAUAGCAAUUGAGUGCAAUGAGUAGUGUUUGAAAUGAUUCAAAGGUGAAAGUGAAGUGAUGAUGCAAAGCAUGGGGGUAAAAUGGAGUGGUGUUGCAGCUAGGGAACAUGAAUGAUUGUGCACAUGGUAGAGAAAGGAAAGGGAGGUGGAAUGAUGCAACAAAUGAGUCAAUGGAGGGAACAUGGAUGAUGAUGCACGACAUAGGAAUCCAAAUGGAGUGCAAUAGUGGUGCACGACAAUGAUGGAAAGGUGAAUGGUGGAGUGACACCCCUUUGUGGCUGAGCUCUUUGUCCUUUUUACAUUAAUUUUUCUUUCUCUUUAACACAUUCCUAGCCUCUUUAGUCUUCAAUUUCAUCCAUCCACCUUGCUCCAUGCAUGUGUUAUUCAUUCCAAGCCCAAAACUGCUCCAAAAUGCACCAAAAUGCAUCUUAUUGCUUCAUAAGGCCUAUAGACCUACAAACACACAAAAAUAGCUUAAAAUACAUAAUUAACUAAGAAAUAACAACAUAAAUGUAUGAGAACAAGCUAAUUCAGUCGCAUAAAUAUGCUCCUAUCAGUCACUCCCUGACAACCCUUAACCACCAACCAAUUCCAACUAAUUAUUUCUUGUCCUAGUCAGCACUCCCAACCUUAUGUGUCACAAUACACAGCAUCCUAUCAAUACCCCCUCCACAAAACAAGGCUUGUACACAAGACUUCAAAAGGAAUUACAACAUUGUCGACAAUGCAUUAAUGGAAUGGAAAUAUCACAAUUGAGCCACCAACAGAAAUUUGGACUUCAAAUCGGCAUAAUCUUCCCAAGUUGCAUCUGCUGGAGCAUGGUUUUGCCAUUGGGCUAGAACUUCAGUUGCUACAGUGGUACCACACUUGACCAUCCUCCGCUCCAAUAUUGCCACUGGAACAUCAUGGAGUAUCCCCUCAUCAGUAAUGACUGGUAAUGGAGCAGCAGGUUGAAUGUGAUCGCCCAGAUGCUUUUUAAGGCAAGAGACAUGGAAGAUUGGAUGUAAUUUCGAAUUGGCUGGCAACUUGAGUUUAUAGGCCACGGCCCCUACCUUAGCCAAUACUUCGAAUGGGCCAUAAAAUCGAGGCUGAAGCUUGUGAAUGGAUGGGAAGCCAAAGACAAUUGCUGAUAUGGAACCAAUCACAAGUACACCAAGUCACCCACUUGAAAAACCCGUUCAGUUCUGUGCUUGUUAGCUUGAACAGCCAUCCAAUUUUGAGCAGCCAACAGGUUUGCCUUCAAAAAAGAUAGGACGUGGUUUCGUUCUUGUAAACACCGAUCAACCAUGUCAAGCUUGGUAAUGCCAGCUUCAUAAACCACUUCAUAAGAAUUGAGUUUAGUUGCACUGUGAAAAGCCGUAUUAUAGCUAUACUCUGCCCAUGACAGCCAGUUGGCCCAUUUCUUGGGUUGGAAGCUACAAAAACACCUGAGAUACGUCUCCAAACACCGGUUAACCACCUCUGUUUGACCAUCUGUUUGUGGAUGGUAACCCAAGCUAAAACACAGAGAAGAACCCUGUAGUGUAAAGAAUUCUUUCCAGAAUUUACUGAUAAAGAUGGGAUCCCUAUCUUACACUAUAGAAGCAGGCAUUCCAUGGAGUUUAAAGAUGUGUUCAACAAAGAGGUGUGCCAUCGAGACAGCCGUGUAGGGAUGUGAAAGGGCAAGAAAAUGGGCAUACUUGGAAAGUCUGUCAACAACCACCCAAAUAACAGUUUUACCUUUGCAAGGAGGUAAGCCAAUGAUAAAGUCCAUAGAAAUGUCCGUCUAAACUCGAGAAGGAAUAGGCAAAGGUUGAAUUAAUCUGGCAGGAGCCAAAGUCUCAUAUUUCUGUUGUUGACAAGUGACAUAAUUUGCUACAAAGUCCUUAAUAUCCUUCUUCAUACCAAUCCAAUAGAAAGACCGAGAGAGUCUUUUAUAGGAUUUAAGAAACCCAGCAUGGCCUGCAAUGGCACUUCAAUGAUGUUUGUCAAACACCUUAUGCCUCCAAAAACUAGUAGGACUCAAUACUAUUCUACCUUUGUAUUGGAGAAACCCAUUGUUUACCUUGUACUUCAAGUUGCGAAUCAAAGUUGAAUCAUUGAGUUGUAAAACUUCCUGAAUUUUUUACACAAUCCAAGUGUCUUGUUCAAGAUGCCUCCGCAAGUCAUCCAACCAACUUAGAUAAGGGUAGGAAAUAGCAGCCAGUUGCAUGUCACAAUUCUGAGAAUUGAUAUCAACAGGCAAUCUUGAAAGGGCAUCUACCACUUGGUUAUCACAACCCUGUUUAUAUUGAAUUUCGUAAUCAAAACCCAAUAAUUUAGAAACCUAUUUUCUGCUGAAAUGGAGUAUGUGCUCGAUUUUGCAGAAAAAAUUUAAGGUUGUAAUGGUCCGUUUUAAUGAUAAAAUGUCUCCCAACCAGAUAUGAUUGCCAUUUUUUCACUGCAUGAAUAAUCGCCAUCAUCUCCCGUUCAUAUGCAGAUAACGAUUGAUUCCGAAUACUCAGCGCCUUGCUGGUAAAAGCAAUAGGCUUGCCAUUCUGUUGUAACACAGCACCAAUGCCAAACUCAGAUACAUCACUCUCAAUGAUAAAAGGCUGUGUAAAAUCAGGGAGAGCCAAUACCUGCAGAGAAAGCAUGGAUGUUUUCAACUCAUUGAAAGCAGUGGUGGCUUCCGAAAUCCAAUGAAAGUUAUCUUUCUUAGUUAAAACUGUGAGAGGACUGAUGAUCUUCCCAAAAUCAGGAAUAAACUUUCUAUAAUAUCCAGUCAACCCGAGAAUCCCCGAAGUGCCUUCACGGAUGUAGGUAUUGGCCAAUUGGCAAUGGAUGCCAAUUUACUAGGAUCAGUUGCAACCCCAUUUUUGGACACAAUGUGACCCAGAUAUUCAAUUGUCGAUUGUUCAAAAGCACACUUAGAUUUCUUCACAAACAAGGUAUGAUCUUGUAAUACUUGAAAAACCACGCAUAGAUGAUUUAAAUGAGAUUCCCAAGAGCUGCUAUAUACUUAAAUAUCAUAAAAAAAAAACCAAAAUAAAUCAUCUAAGAUAGGGCCUGAAGAUCUCAUUCAUAAGACACUGAAAUGUUGCAGGAGCAUUAGUUAAACCGAAAAACAUAACCAAAAACUCAUAGUGGCCAUCAUGUGUUCGGAAACCAGUCUUCUCAAUGUCAUUGGGAUGCAUUCUGAGUUGGUGAUACCCAAAUCGCAGGUCCAAUUUCAAAAAAAAACUGAGCCCCAAAUAGUUCAUCAAGCAGCUCAUCAAUCAAUGGGAUAGGAAACUUGUCUUUAAUUGUAAUAUGGUUGAGUCCACUAUAGUCCAUACACAUUCGCCAAGUCCCCUCUUUUUUUUUUUACUAAGAUAACUGGGGAAGAAUAUGGACUAUUACUGAUUCUGAUAAACCCAGCCUUUAACAAUUCAUGCACACACUUUUCAAUUUCUGUCUUCUGCAAAGGUCCAUAUCAAUAGGGCCUCAUGCUUGGGGGCUUACUACCUUCUAAUAAAGGAAUGCGAUGGUCAUGUGACCUGUGAGGUGGAAGAGUGUUUAGAGUCAAGAAAACUCCCUCAAAUUCUUGUAAUAGCUGCUGCAAUUCCACAGAUUGUUGAUCAGUAAGUGAGUCUUGCGUCUAAAACAUGUCUUCAGUCUUGAUUUGAAACAAGAAAGCUCCAAUGGACGACUCUUGUUGCAUAAGUUUCUCCAUUUGGAGAAUAGAGACAUCUUGAAAGUGCUCUGUAGGAGUUUCAGGACUAGAAAGACAAUACAUCACCCCACCCUUUGUGAACUUCAUAUACAAUUUAUCAAAAUCCCAAAUGACUGGUCCAAGAGUUCGCAACCACUGCACCCCUAAUACAAUGUCACAACCACCUAAAGCCAUAGCAUACAAGUCAGUUAUACACUAAUAAUUCUGAAUUUUUAAAGAGAUAGCCCCCACGGAUCCAAUUGUAUUAACUUUUCCUCCAUCGGCAAUCUUAACACUAAAAGAGUGAGAUGUAUCAAGAUGACCAUUAAUCUUCUUUACCAAAGAAGAAUCAAUGAAAUUAUUUGAACUACCAGAGUCAAUGAGAAUUAUCACAGGGCAAUUUUUAAUGCAACCUAAAACUUUCAUAGUCUUGAUAGAUGUAGGUGCAGGAGUGCCAAAAAGAGCAUAAGAGGUGAUUUCUGGUUCAAGAUUCUCAUCAUCAGAGGAUUCAUUAUCAUCAGGAGUGUGAAUAUCGAUAAGCAAAAGCUGUUUUUUCUCACAGGAAUGACCUCUAGCGUACUUUUCCUUACAAUGAAAGCAUAACCCAUGUUUCUUAGAGUAUUCUACUUGUUCAGGAGUCAGUCUUCUAACAAUAUCAGGCUUGAUCUUAAUUUCUCCAUUAGUACCAAUAUUAACAGUCUGUAAUGAAGUACGAGAAAAAGUAUUAACAAAAGAACGAGGAAAAGAUUUGACCUUUAAAUCGGACAAUUUCGCAUCCAGCUGUUGUGCAUACGCAGUUGCUUCCAGGACGUCCCUGGGUUUCAAGAUCUUCACAUCAUGACGCAUUUCAAAUUUGAGACUGCCAAUUAAGCAAGACUUCAAAAGAGAAUAAGUCAUAUCUCUGGUGCGAUUGGCCAAUCUUCUGAAGUCAAGAACAUAAUCCCUCAAAGAUCCAAUUUGUCUCAAUUUCACUAAACUCUCUGCGGCGUCGUCGAACUCGGAAGGCCCAAAUUCUUGACAUAAUGCUCGAGUGAAAUCUUCCCACUUUGGAUAAUUGGCAGUGUAAUUAGCCCAUUGAAACCACUGCAAGGGUUCGCCUUCCAGAUGGAAGGAAGCCAUUUUCACUUUCUUGAAUUCUUCGAUGUUAAAGAAAUCAAAAUAGUGCUCUGCUUUGUAAAUCCACCCUAAGGGUUCAUCACCGUCACCAAAUCUAGGAAAGUCCAUCUUCAAAAAUGGUUGACGCGGAUUCGAAGCAUUUGUGGCGAAUUCUUGACGACAAGAAUUGGGGGCAAAAUUAGGGUUCGUACCCAUUUGCAGAUUUGGAUCAGAAUGCGUUGCUUCCGAAGAUUCGCCGACAGAUCCACCCUUAGAAGAUAAGGAUUGUAGCUGUUGAAGAAUCAAUUCGUGAGUCGCGCGGAACUCCAUUCGCGAUUCGUGGAACUCGCUUCUGGAUUCCUUGAAUUCUUUCUGAAAUUCUUCGAACAAAGAUUCCAGCUUGGAUACACGCAAUUCCAUUGUUCUUCUGGAAGCAAGCCGAGUCAUACACGAGAAAGAUCAAGUCAGGAUCGGAAACAAUGGCUUGAUACCAAUGAUACAACCCUUACUCUGCUUCUUACUCAGUGUAACAGUAGCUAGUAUAUUUCAUUGCAAUAUCAACCUUUACAACAACUUUCCCUUUUACAAUAUUCCCUUAUAUAGUAACUAAGCAGCUUCCUCCCUAAGUCACUCCCUAACAACCCUUAACCGCCAACCAAUUCCAACUAAUUCUUUCUUGUCCUAGUCAGCACUCCCAACCUUAUGUGUCACAAUACACAGCAUCCUAUCAAAUACAAAUUCAUUGGUAAGUUCAUCGACCAAAUUCCACACUUAUACAAGCUUAACAAGCUACAUUUUCAAAUGAUUGUGUGAUUGUAAUUUGUGUUGCACGAGAUGUGCCUUCACACUCUUAACUGUUUCAAACUUUUCGAACUGUAUAGGUACGCUACAUUGGUGUUUCCAAUGAAACUUCAUAUGGAUUUGUAAA